GAUGAACGCUGGCGGCGUGCCUAAUACAUGCAAGUCGAGCGAACGGACGAGAAGCUUGCUUCUCUGAUGUUAGCGGCGGACGGGUGAGUAACACGUGGAUAACCUACCUAUAGGACUGGGAUAACUUCGGGAAACCGGAGCUAAUACCGGAUAAUAUUUUGAACCGCAUGGUUCAAAAGUGAAAGACGGUCUUGCUGUCACUUAUAGAUGGAUCCGCGCUGCAUUAGCUAGUUGGUAAGGUAACGGCUUACCAAGGCAACGAUGCAUAGCCGACCUGAGAGGGUGAUCGGCCACACUGGAACUGAGACACGGUCCAGACUCCUACGGGAGGCAGCAGUAGGGAAUCUUCCGCAAUGGGCGAAAGCCUGACGGAGCAACGCCACGUGAGUGAUGAAGGUCUUCGGAUCGUAAAACUCUGUUAUUAGGGAAGAACAUAUGUGUAAGUAACUGUGCACAUCUUGACGGUACCUAAUCAGAAAGCCACGGCUAACUACGUG
Molecule: ribosomal RNA, 497 nt
Filed under: uncultured bacterium
Lineage: Bacteria
Description: partial 16S ribosomal RNA
Rfam family: Bacterial small subunit ribosomal RNA
Source: RNAcentral